CUUGCAAUGGAACUGAGGAUGUACAGGA
RNAcentral lists this non-coding RNA (28 nucleotides) under Homo sapiens (human). The record is from RNAcentral. Lineage: Eukaryota; Metazoa; Chordata; Mammalia; Primates; Hominidae.